RNAcentral lists this ribosomal RNA (387 nucleotides) under uncultured bacterium. RNAcentral describes it as "bacterial SSU rRNA". It matches the Rfam family "Bacterial small subunit ribosomal RNA", at positions 28 to 417 of the family's 1533-position model. The record is from RNAcentral.
GACGAACGCUGGCGGCGUGCUUAACACAUGCAAGUCGAGCGGUAAGGCCCUUUCGGGGGUACACGAACGGCGAACGGGUGAGUAACACGUGGGUGACCUGCCCUCAGCUCUGGGAUAAGCCUGGGAAACCGGGUCUAAUACCGGAUAUGACUCCAUGACGCAUGUUGUGGGGUGGAAAGCCUUGUGCGGCUGAGGAUGGGCCCGCGGCCUAUCAGCUUGUUGGUGGGGUGAUGGCCACCAAGGCGACGACGGGUAGCCGGCCUGAGAGGGCGACCGGCCACACUGGGACUGAGACACGGCCCAGACUCCUACGGGAGGCAGCAGUGGGGAAUCUUGCGCAAUGGGCGAAAGCCUGACGCAGCGACGCCGCGUGAGGGAUGACGGCCU